Non-coding RNA from Danionella cerebrum, 74 nucleotides. The record is from the annotation of a GenBank genome assembly. NCBI's taxonomy places the organism in Eukaryota, Metazoa, Chordata, Actinopteri, Cypriniformes, Danionidae.
UGUGCCAUGGAUUAAUUGGUUAAAGUGCAUGUUUAGUAAAAAUAAGAUCCUGUUUUCAAAUCCCAGUGUUGCCG